Molecule: long non-coding RNA, 454 nt
Organism: Fundulus heteroclitus (mummichog)
Lineage: Eukaryota; Metazoa; Chordata; Actinopteri; Cyprinodontiformes; Fundulidae
Exons: 3
Source: RefSeq, a predicted model, not a curated record
GCUGUGAAUAGUCUCUUGUCAAAAAAGCAAGAGCUGCUCAUCUGUGAUGUCAAAAAAAAGAGCAAAGUCAGAUUAGGUGGAGAUGCCAGAUGCUGCUCACCAAGGCACACUGCCAAGUACGGUAGCUACUCCCUUAUGGACAUGGACACCUCCAAAGUGUUGGACAUGCAGCUUGUACAGUGUACAGAAGUGAAAAACUCAUAUGCAAUGGAGUUGGAAGGCCUAAAGAGGUCACUUCAAUUCCUAGAAGAUGCUGGAGUCACUGUUACUGACUUGACAACAGACCGUCAUUCCAGUGUUAAAAAGUUUAUGCGCGAGAUUUAUCCCUCAAUUAAUCACUGGUUUGAUGCCUGGCAUAUAGCAAAAGGUAUUACAAAAAAGCUUGACGCAUCAUCAAAGAAAAAGUUAUGUCACACCAUCUCACCGUGGAUCCACAGCAUCUCCAACCAUGUAU